RNAcentral lists this non-coding RNA (212 nucleotides) under Pontibacillus halophilus. RNAcentral describes it as "T-box sequence". It matches the Rfam family "T-box leader". Rfam says of the family: Uncharged tRNA acts as the effector for transcription antitermination of genes in the T-box leader family. T-boxes are found upstream of many aminoacyl-tRNA synthetase genes and some amino acid biosynthetic genes usually in Gram-positive bacteria. The record is from RNAcentral. Lineage: Bacteria; Bacillati; Bacillota; Bacilli; Caryophanales; Bacillaceae.
GUAAAAGCGUUGAAGGAAAAAAGAGUAACUUUCUCUCUCCCUUUCCCAGAGAGUCGAUGGCGGUGGAAGUCGACAUAAAGAGUGAAAGUGAAGUUCGUUUUCCUGAGCUUCUUUUGUAGACACAAAGGACGGUACUGGUCGUUAUCCAUGUUGAGAUGUGAGGGAGUAGUCUCUCAUAACUAGGGUGGUACCGCGACCAUUUCGCCCCUACG